UAAUACUUUGUUUAUAUAUUUAUAUAAACUUCACAUAAUAAUUAUUAAUUUAUGAUUAUGGUGUGACCAUAUAUUUUUAAAGGUGUUUCAAAAUUUUAAUAUCUUAUCAAAUUGUAAUACACUUAAAACCGGCCCAACUCCAAAUCUGAAGAAUUUUUUAGUUUAUCAUAAUUAAUUUAUCGAAUAUCACUGUACAAUUUUUGAAACAAUUAAAGAAGACAACUACAUAAUAGAAACACCAAUUAGAGAUUCAAAAUAGAACUUAAAGUGGAGAACAAAGUUUAUUUUGAGAUUUGACUCAAGACCAAAGAUUCAUACAUCUAUUCA
This 327-nucleotide long non-coding RNA is filed under the name Brassica napus (rape). RNAcentral describes it as "long non-coding RNA (BNAP_LNC003522)". Lineage: Eukaryota; Viridiplantae; Streptophyta; Magnoliopsida; Brassicales; Brassicaceae. The record is from RNAcentral.